UUAGUUGUCAUUUCAGGCAUCAUUUUUUAAUAAAAUGCAUUUAUCUGAGAAAGAACGAAUUGAAAUAUUCAUGAUACAACAAGAAGUCUGUAAUAUGUUUAAUGUAACCCAUGCUGAUCGUCCUGCAAUUACUAGAUCCACCAUUAGUAAAAUUGAAUUAAAAUUUAGGGAACACGGCCAUGUAAGAAAUUUAUUUAAAGGAAAACCUCCAAAAGUAUUUGAAGAUAUGUUCUAUUAGAAACAGAGAAUUAUCUCUAUGUUGCGAUUAGUACAAUUUCCAGAAACUAUAAUUUUUCAGGAAGAAGACGAUUUUGACCCCCGAGUGCAGUUUUAUGAGCAGAUUCUUGAGGCUAACAAUAACAAUGGAAAUUUCAUUCAAAACAUUAUUUUUUCUGAUGAGGCCACCUUUAUGUUAAAGGGACAUGUUAACAGGCAAAAAUGCAGAUAUUAGGAAACCAAAAAUCCUCAUUGGACCCAAGAAUACGAUACACACCGCCCUCAAAAAGAACCUAUUUGAAGUCCAAAAUUUAUAUGAAUAGACCAAAUAUUCAUAUAAACUUUAUAAAUAUUCAUAUAAUGAUUUAAAUGAAAGAAUUCGACAAAAAUUAGACUAAACGAUCCGCAAGUGAUUGAAAAUGUGCAAUUGGAAGUUAUUUACCGGGUUCAAAAAUGCAUUGAAGUAAAUGUAUAACAAAAUUGAAGUUGCAAUAAAUAUUGUAUAAUUUUUAA
Anthonomus grandis grandis is the source of this 729-nucleotide long non-coding RNA. RefSeq lists it as uncharacterized. Lineage: Eukaryota; Metazoa; Arthropoda; Insecta; Coleoptera; Curculionidae. The record is from RefSeq and is a predicted model, not a curated record. The transcript has 2 exons.